UACGAAGGGGGCGAGCGUUGCCCGAAUUUACUGGGCGUAAAGCGCACGUAGGCGGCUUCGUAAGUCUGGUGUGAAAUCUCACGGCUCAACCGAGAGGCUGCACCAGAUACUGCGAAGCUCGAGGACGGGAGAGGAGGUUGGAAUUCCCGGUGUAGCGGGGAAAUGCAUUGAUACCGGGAGGAACACCAGUGGCGAAGGCGGGUCUCUGGCCCGUUGCUGACGCUGAGGUGCGAAAGCUGGGGGAGCGAAAGGG
RNAcentral lists this ribosomal RNA (253 nucleotides) under uncultured bacterium. RNAcentral's name for it is "partial 16S ribosomal RNA". It matches the Rfam family "Bacterial small subunit ribosomal RNA", at positions 524 to 776 of the family's 1533-position model. The record is from RNAcentral.